RNAcentral lists this ribosomal RNA (253 nucleotides) under uncultured bacterium. RNAcentral describes it as "partial 16S ribosomal RNA". It matches the Rfam family "Bacterial small subunit ribosomal RNA", at positions 524 to 776 of the family's 1533-position model. The record is from RNAcentral.
UACGGGGGGGGCAAGCGUUGUUCGGAAUUACUGGGCGUAAAGGGCUCGUAGGCUGCCAACUAAGUCGGACGUGAAAUCCCUCGGCUUAACCGGGGAACUGCGUCUGAUACUGGAUGGCUUGAGUUUGGGAGAGGGAUGCGGAAUUCCAGGUGUAGCGGUGAAAUGCGUAGAUAUCUGGAGGAACACCGGUGGCGAAGGCGGGAUCCUGGACCAACACUGACGCUGAUGAGCGAAAGCCAGGGGAGCAAACGGG